RNAcentral lists this ribosomal RNA (451 nucleotides) under uncultured bacterium. RNAcentral describes it as "SSU rRNA". It matches the Rfam family "Bacterial small subunit ribosomal RNA", at positions 26 to 518 of the family's 1533-position model. The record is from RNAcentral.
AGAGCGAACGCUGGCGGCAGGCUUAACACAUGCAAGUCGAGCGGGCGGUAGCGAAUAACGGUCAGCGGCAGACGGGUGAGUAACGCGUGGGAACGUACCUUUUGGUUCGGAACAACCCAGGGAAACUUGGGCUAAUACCGGAUAAGCCCUUACGGGGAAAGAUUUAUCGCCGAAAGAUCGGCCCGCGUCUGAUUAGCUAGUUGGUGAGGUAAUGGCUCACCAAGGCGACGAUCAGUAGCUGGUCUGAGAGGAUGAUCAGCCACAUUGGGACUGAGACACGGCCCAAACUCCUACGGGAGGCAGCAGUGGGGAAUAUUGGACAAUGGGCGCAAGCCUGAUCCAGCCAUGCCGCGUGAGUGAUGAAGGCCCUAGGGUUGUAAAGCUCUUUUGUGCGGGAAGAUAAUGACGGUACCGCAAGAAUAAGCCCGGCUAACUUCGUGCCAGCAGCCGC